ACCUUAUCAAGAGUGGCGGAGGGACCGGCCCGAUGAAGCCACGGCAACCUGUUUUUUCAAGGUGCCAAAUCCGGCGAACGAAUCGAAAGAUGAGGA
Molecule: regulatory RNA element, 96 nt
Organism: Firmicutes bacterium CAG:176
Lineage: Bacteria; Bacillati; Bacillota
Rfam family: SAM riboswitch aptamer (S box leader)
About the family: The SAM riboswitch is found upstream of a number of genes which code for proteins involved in methionine or cysteine biosynthesis in Gram-positive bacteria. The SAM riboswitch acts at the level of transcription termination control.
Source: Rfam